Molecule: ribosomal RNA, 232 nt
Filed under: uncultured bacterium
Lineage: Bacteria
Description: partial 16S ribosomal RNA
Rfam family: Bacterial small subunit ribosomal RNA
Source: RNAcentral
CGUUGUCCGGAUUUAUUGGGCGUAAAGCGAGCGCAGGCGGUUCCUUAAGUCUGAUGUGAAAGCCCACGGCUUAACCGUGGAAGGUCAUUGGAAACUGGGGAACUUUGAGUGCAGAAGAGGAGAGUGGAAUUCCAUGUGUAGCGGUGAGAUGCGUAGAUAUAUGGAGGAACACCAGUGGCGAAGGCGACUCUCUGGUCUGUAACUGACGCUGAGGCUCGAAAGCGUGGGGAGC